Molecule: ribosomal RNA, 126 nt
Filed under: Microtus ochrogaster (prairie vole)
Lineage: Eukaryota; Metazoa; Chordata; Mammalia; Rodentia; Cricetidae
Source: RNAcentral
GUCUAUGGCCAUACCACACUGUACAUGCCCGAUCGUCUGAUCUCAGAAGCUAAACAGGGUCAGCCCUGGUUAAUACUUGGAUGGGAUACCAUCUGGGAACCAGUUUAGAACCGGGUGUUAUAGGCU